GCAUGAACAACCUUGUCUACAUGUCAGCCUUUUUUACUUUUUUCAUUAUUUUUCCUCAGGGUCUGUAAGCAUCAUAAAAGUUUCCCAAAGUAUGUACGUAAUGGCUCAAUAUUCACCAAGUCUCACAUCCCUCUGACAAAAUGGCUUGAGUUCAUGCACAGAUUUGCCCAAGGUUUGCAGUUGAAGCAACUUGCCAUGAUCAGUGACAGGAUAGCAGCAAGCUCCAGGACAUUGACAAGAAUGGCAAAAGUACUCUGAAAGGUCUGCAUUGCUGCUGUCAAGCGACAGAGGAAAAGAUGUAUGAGGAUUGGUGGUCGUCAUCAAGUUGUUGUUAUUGACGAGAGCAAAUUUGCCCACAAACGAAAGUGGGUCUUUGGGAUGUUGGAGGUCGACAAGAAGUCCAGAAGACCCAUUCUGAGACUUGUCAGGGAUCGCAGAAGGAAGACACUUAUAGGUCAUAUUAGACGCCAUGUCAGACCCAGAACAUCCAUCCUCAGUGAUGAAUGGCGUGCCUACAAAGGGCAACUUGCCCAGUAUGGGUAUGAUCAUUAUUCGGUCUGCCAUAAAAACAACUUUGUGGACCGAGAGACU
Long non-coding RNA from Gasterosteus aculeatus aculeatus (three-spined stickleback), 591 nucleotides. The record is from Ensembl. NCBI's taxonomy places the organism in Eukaryota, Metazoa, Chordata, Actinopteri, Perciformes, Gasterosteidae.